Megalobrama amblycephala (Wuchang bream) is the source of this 2450-nucleotide long non-coding RNA. RefSeq lists it as uncharacterized. NCBI's taxonomy places the organism in Eukaryota, Metazoa, Chordata, Actinopteri, Cypriniformes, Xenocyprididae. The record is from RefSeq and is a predicted model, not a curated record. The transcript has 5 exons.
UGGUACAUCUGGGAGCGUUCAGAAAACUCCCAGCUUACAAGCUGUAACUACGAUCUCUACGAGGACGUGAACGCUUUUUACAAGCUAGAAUCUUGUAACUACAGGAAUUACAAGGCCGCGUGGACGCACCUUAAUAUACAUAGAUCUAUGAAUAUGCUAAUUAGCUCCGCCUUCAAUCACUCGCACGAGCUCAGAGAUCAACGGUCAAUUUACUGAGUCAGCUUCCUCUCCCACCUUACCUAUGCAAGCCAGAAGAUGUUUGGGAUGAGCCGCUGAGGAAUCAGAGAGGAAAAAAUGAACAUCCUAACACACACUGGCUCAUGGUUGAUUGAUGUGAGCAGAGAGGGAAGCUGAGACAUACGCUAUCAUAACCCCACAGUAAAGACAUUCUCAGCUCCAGCUCACUGCGGAUGCUUCAUUCAGCAGGUCAGUUCAAGGUCAGUUCAGGUAAAUGCAGCAGGAGUUCAAGGCAUGUUUUUAAAGAUGACCUCAGCAAAGGUUGUCCCCAUCUCAUUGAAUGGACCUGAGACACUGACUCCUAAAGGAAAUCCCAACGGAGCACUGGUGAGUGUCACCUUACUUUACCUUCAGUAUCUCAGACUUAAUCAGGUUCCAAUCAUCUCACCUCAGAACGAUCAGUUGUGUUUCAAUAUAGCUGACUGAUUAUGGCAGAACUGAGUUUUGCUGAAAGGACUGGACAGAUUUUUGCAUUGAAUAGAAAAGGAUAGAAAAGGGGGCAGGUUAGGUGUGAAACUGUCUGGAUUGUGGCUAUAAUUGCAGCCUAUUGUUGUGAAAUUAUUGAUUAUUGGCUAAUCAAUAAAUCUGUUGCAUGGUUGUUUGAUUGUUUAUCUCUAGUCUUUCUAAAAGUGACUUAUUGAACUGAUUCUGUCCUACCUCGUUUCCAAAAUGCAGUGAUGAUAAUGUCUUUCUGUGCUGUACUUGGUAACGCUGUCUGCUCUUGUCUUGCCCCAAAAUAAUUUUGAUUCCAAAGGAUUUAUUUAAAGGUUUAAAAAAAAUAAAAAAUAAACCAAGCCUAUAACAAUAGCCCAUCUGUUGCUUAACAAUCUGAAAACCAGCUUUACAGUCUAUCAAAUCUUGUUUUUUUUCAUAGGAGCUGGGCAAAAUAUUCUUAUCUGUCAAAUCUGUAAAAGUCAAAGGCUAUGGAAGCAGCCAAACCUUGUUAAAAAUAAGUGAAUUUAAUGUACUGAAUGUGCAAUUGUAGUGUACUUCACAUCUUAAAAGUCUAUUAAAAAACUGUUCUUGCGGAUAAUGCAAUAUUAUUAAAAUACAAGGUCACUUGACUGUACUAAAAGAGAGUACACUUUGUAAUAAUGCAUUAUUAAAUUUAUUAAAUCAUAAUUAAAAGUUUUACUGUAAAGUACACUUUAAAUCAUUGUUUUAUUAUUUUUUUUAUGUUAAAGUACACUUUUGAUGUGUUUUAAUAAUUUUUUUUAUGUUAAAGUACACUUUUGAUGUGUUUUAAUAAUAUUUUUUCAUGCUAGAAGUACACUUUUGAUGUGUUUUAAUAAUAUUUUUUCAUGCUAGAAGUACACUUUUGAUGUGUUUUAAUAAUAUUUUUUCAUGCUAGAAGUACACUUUUGAUGUGUUGACUAACAUACUAAAGCCCAUGUUGUCACAAGUAUGUUUAGUUAGUUUCACUUUCAUGGACUUUUAGUUUGUUUAUCGUCAGAUUCCUGUUUCCUUUGUCUUUGUUUCCCACCACUAAUCUGUUUCUAUGGACAUUGGACACUGAUUCAAUCACCUCACCUGUUAGUCUUUUAGUUCAUGAUCUCCUGUAUAAAUGCUCUCUGUUUUCAGUUCCUCAUUAGCUAUGUUUCCAUCCAAAGUCGCAUAUUUAACUAAAGGAAAAUUUGGAAUAUUGCAUAAAAAAUAUUUGCGAAUAAAGCACUUUUUCCAUCCAGUGAGAGAACAAAAACGUCACUUCCUGAUAAACUGGCACUAAAUAUCACCAAGACAAAUGGAAGUUGAUGCAGUAGAAUCCACUGUACAUAAUAAUAUAAAUUAUUUGGUCCUCAGAGUGCACAGACGAAACGCAAUAAACGCUGUCAUGUUAUCUUGCAUUCCGAUGCCUGGUGUUUGUGAAUGCAAUUGUGUGAGGUGCUUCUGGGAUGGAAUUAAACAGAACUACUUUAACGACAGACUUUGCUCAGGCAUUACAGAAUGACUAGAACAGCAUUUCAGAUGCUGUGCAAUGAGGUCGUUCCACUGGUUGGUCCAGUUAUGCCGUCCCAUUGCAAAGUCACGUCUUUUUUGAUGCGCAUCAAGGAAUUUAUUCUGUAAAAGUGUUUCGUAUCGCAUAAAAAAUGUAUCCAACUCAUUUGAGUGCAUACUUUUUUGCAACAUGUUCUCCAACCAAUACGCCUAUAUAGGUCGUUUGUCACUUCCCUGAAUUACGACCCAUAGGAGCGUUUACUAAAGUUGCACCCCUA